RNAcentral lists this ribosomal RNA (569 nucleotides) under Lazarenkoiopsis ussuriensis. RNAcentral describes it as "eukaryotic LSU rRNA". The stretch from base 200 to 353 matches the Rfam family "5.8S ribosomal RNA". The record is from RNAcentral. Lineage: Eukaryota; Fungi; Ascomycota; Lecanoromycetes; Teloschistales; Teloschistaceae.
CGGAAGGAUCAUUAAUGAGAGGGAAGGUUUUAUGCCUUCGGUGCUUCGGCGCCUAACUCUUCACCCCGUGCUUACCAACCUCUGUUGCUUUGGCGGGGUAUCAAGGUUCGUCCUUGGUGUGUCUGCACGCCCCGUCAGAGACCCCCCAUCAAAAUCUUCAUAUCAGUGCAGUCUGAGCUUUUAAUGCAAAUCAUAUCAAAACUUUCAACAACGGAUCUCUUGGUUCUGGCAUCGAUGAAGAACGCAGCGAAAUGCGAUAAGUAAUGUGAAUUGCAGAAUUCAGUGAAUCAUCGAAUCUUUGAACGCACAUUGCGCCCCUUGGUAUUCCGAGGGGCAUGCCUGUUCGAGCGUCAUUGCAACCCUCAAGCUCAGCUUGGUAUUGAGCGUUCGCGGCUUCCUUCGGGGGGCGGCGUGCUUGAAAAUCAGUGGCAGUCCUGGAAGACUUCAAGCGUAGUAAAAACGAUCGUUCUGGAAGCUUUCUGCCUGGGACUUCGCCGACGAAUCCUAUCUAUCUUUCAAUGAUUGACCUCGGAUCAGGCAGGGAUACCCGCUGAACUUAAGCAUAUCAA